GCGUCCGAGGUGUUUGCGGCUGCAUUCCUGGCUUCCAACCAGGAGGAGCGGGUUCGACCCCCGCCGGACGCU
This 72-nucleotide transfer RNA is filed under the name Myxococcales bacterium. Its description in RNAcentral is "tRNA-Gly". It matches the Rfam family "tRNA". From Rfam's summary of the family: Transfer RNA (tRNA) molecules are approximately 80 nucleotides in length. Their secondary structure includes four short double-helical elements and three loops (D, anti-codon, and T loops). Lineage: Bacteria; Pseudomonadati; Myxococcota; Myxococcia; Myxococcales. The record is from RNAcentral.